UGAAGUUCAGGUAACACUGAAUGGAGGACCGAACCGACUUACGUUGAAAAGUGAGCGGAUGAACUGAGGGUAGCGGAGAAAUUCCAAUCGAACCUGGAGAUAGCUGGUUCUCUCCGAAAUAGCUUUAGGGCUAGCCUCAAGUGAUGAUUAUUGGAGGUAGAGCACUGUUUGGACGAGGGGCCCCUCUCGGGUUACCGAAUUCAGACAAACUCCGAAUGCCAAUUAAUUUAACUUGGGAGUCAGAACAUGGGUGAUAAGGUCCGUGUUCGAAAGGGAAACAGCCCAGACCACCAGCUAAGGUCCCAAAAUAUAUGUUAAGUGGAAAAGGAUGUGGCGUUGCCCAGACAACUAGGAUGUUGGCUUAGAAGCAGCCAUCAUUUAAAGAGUGCGUAAUAGCUCACUAGUCGAGUGACACUGCGCCGAAAAUGUACCGGGGCUAAACAU
RNAcentral lists this ribosomal RNA (444 nucleotides) under Staphylococcus aureus. Its description in RNAcentral is "partial 23S ribosomal RNA". It matches the Rfam family "Bacterial large subunit ribosomal RNA", at positions 746 to 1189 of the family's 2925-position model. The record is from RNAcentral. Lineage: Bacteria; Bacillati; Bacillota; Bacilli; Caryophanales; Staphylococcaceae.